UUCUAUUUUGGUUGUGGUCCCGACAGUCCCCAUUGCCGCAUCAUGGCCGAGUGGUGCCAAAGAGGAAUCGAGGACAUCCCAAGGCUCGUUCGAUCCCCAGAGUGUCCAAAUGUGUCCCCAGUGUCUCCCCAGUGAGCAUGGAGCUCCAAGAGCUGUCCCCGGCCCUGCUGCAGCCACAGGUCACCGUGGUGGCCAUCCUGGGAGAUGCUGGCCAACCUGCCCAGUCUGGACACGAUGAUGCUGCUGCUCCUGUCUCCAAGCUGCCUGUACUUGGACCUGAUUGACUUCACCAAGGAGCUCCAGAUCACCCUGUACCACCUUAAUGCAGCCUGGUGGCACUGCAAUGCCACUUCUGAUGAUGGCCCUGUCACCUCCCUGAGCCAGGCCCUGGUCGCCUACAAGAGCACCCCAUGGACUGUGGUAGAUAGGGAAAAGGCGCUGCAGAAGAUCACGCGAUGUCACGGAAAGCCAGGACCCUUUGUUCCUCUAAGAUAAGAGAUUACCCUAGGAAUGUGGCCCCACUAACAGUAGGAAUGUGGCCCCACUAACAGUAGUGCCAGUAACUUUCCAUUCCUUACCCAGUACUUUUCCAUUCCCUACUAAACAUAGAUAAGAAGGACAAACCCCCUUUUGACGUAGAGGACCCCUUAGACUAUAAGACCCCACGAGAAGAAGUAAUAAACGCCUUUUGACCGUCCAUCA
Long non-coding RNA from Melospiza melodia melodia, 702 nucleotides. RefSeq lists it as uncharacterized. The transcript has 2 exons. The record is from RefSeq and is a predicted model, not a curated record. NCBI's taxonomy places the organism in Eukaryota, Metazoa, Chordata, Aves, Passeriformes, Passerellidae.